This 323-nucleotide unclassified non-coding RNA is filed under the name soil metagenome. Its description in RNAcentral is "partial contains 5.8S ribosomal RNA, internal transcribed spacer 2, and large subunit ribosomal RNA". The stretch from base 1 to 120 matches the Rfam family "5.8S ribosomal RNA", at positions 35 to 154 of the family's 154-position model. The record is from RNAcentral.
GAUGAAGAACGCAGCGAAAUGCGAUAAGUAGUGUGAAUUGCAGAAUUCAGUGAGUCAUCGAAUCUUUGAACGCACAUUGCGCCCUGUGGUAUUCCGCAGGGCAUGCCUGUUCGAGCGUCAUUUCAACCCUCAAGCUCUGCUUGGUGUUGGGCCCUGCCCGCUGCGGCCGGCCCUAAAGACAGUGGCGGUGCCGCCUGGCCCUGAGCGUAGUACAUCUCUCGCUCCAGUGCCCGGUGGUAGCCUGCCAGAACCCCAACUCUCGUGGUUGACCUCGGAUCAGGUAGGGAUACCCGCUGAACUUAAGCAUAUCAAUAAGCGGAGGA